GGGCNACCCUGGUGGCGAGUGGCGAACGGGUGAGUAAUAUAUCGGAACGUGCCCUGGAGUGGGGGAUAACUAGUCGAAAGAUUANCUAAUACCGCAUACGAUCUACGGAUGAAAGUGGGGGAUCGCAAGACCUCAUGCUCGUGGAGCGGCCGAUAUCUGAUUAGCUAGUUGGUGGGGUAAAGGCCUACCAAGGCAUCGAUCAGUAGCUGGUCUGAGAGGACGACCAGCCACACUGGGACUGAGACACGGCCCAGACUCCUACGGGAGGCAGCAGUGGGGAAUUUUGGACAAUGGGCGCAAGCCUGAUCCAGCAAUGCCGCGUGAGUGAAGAAGGCCUUCGGGUUGUAAAGCUCUUUUGUCAGGGAAGAAACGGUGGAGGUUAAUACCUUCUGCUAAUGACGGUACCUGAAGAAUAAGCACCGGCUAACUACGUGCCAGCAGCCGCGGUAAUACGUAGGGUGCAAGCGUUAAUCGGAAUUACUGGGCGUAAAGCGUGCGCAGGCGGUUGUGCAAGACAGAUGUGAAAUCCCCGGGCUCAACCUGGGAAUUGCAUUUGUGACUGUACGGCUAGAGUGUGUCAGAGGGGGGUAGAAUUCCACGUGUAGCAGUGAAAUGCGUAGAGAUGUGGAGGAAUACCGAUGGCGAAGGCAGCCCCCUGGGAUAACACUGACGCUCAUGCACGAAAGCGUGGGGAGCAAACAGGNNUAGAUACCCUGNUAGUCCACGCCCUAAACGAUGUCUACUAGUUGUCGGGUCUUUAUUGACUUGGNAACGCANCUAACGCGUGAAGUA
This 792-nucleotide ribosomal RNA is filed under the name uncultured bacterium. Its description in RNAcentral is "bacterial SSU rRNA". It matches the Rfam family "Bacterial small subunit ribosomal RNA", at positions 77 to 866 of the family's 1533-position model. The record is from RNAcentral.